RNAcentral lists this ribosomal RNA (503 nucleotides) under uncultured bacterium. RNAcentral's name for it is "partial 16S ribosomal RNA". It matches the Rfam family "Bacterial small subunit ribosomal RNA", at positions 28 to 523 of the family's 1533-position model. The record is from RNAcentral.
GACGAACGCUAGCGAUAGGCCUAACACAUGCAAGUCGAGGGGCAUCACGGAGUAGCAAUACUUUGGUGGCGACCGGCGCACGGGUGAGUAACGCGUAUGCAAUCUACCUACAACAGGGGGAUAACCCGGAGAAAUCCGGACUAAUACCGCAUAACACAGGGGUCCCGCAUGGGAAUAUUUGUUAAAGAUAUAUCGGUUGUAGAUGAGCAUGCGUUCCAUUAGGUAGUUGAUGAGGUAACGGCCCACCAAGCCUGCGAUGGAUAGGGGAACUGAGAGGUUUGUCCCCCACACUGGAACUGAGACACGGACCAGACUCCUACGGGAGGCAGCAGUGAGGAAUAUUGGUCAAUGGGCGAGAGCCUGAACCAGCCAAAUCGCGUGAAGGAAGACUGCCUUAUGGGUUGUAAACUUCUUUUGUACAGGAAUAAAAAGAGGGACGUGUCCUUCAUUGCAUGUACUGUACGAAUAAGCAUCGGCUAACUCCGUGCCAGCCGCCGCAGUAA